UCCUGGCUCAGGAUGAACGCUAGCGGCAGGCUUAACACAUGCAAGUCGAGGGGCAGCGGGGAGGAAGCUUGCUUUCUCCGCCGGCGACCGGCGCACGGGUGAGUAACACGUAUGCAACCUGCCCCUGUCAGGGGGACAACCCGCCGAAAGGCGGGCUAAACCCGCGUACAUGCCACCGGGGCAUCCCGGAGGCAGGAAAGGCUUCGGCCGGACAGGGAUGGGCAUGCGGCGCAUUAGGCAGUAGGCGGGGUAACGGCCCACCUAACCGACGAUGCGUAGGGGUUCUGAGAGGAAGGUCCCCCACACUGGUACUGAGACACGGACCAGACUCCUACGGGAGGCAGCAGUGAGGAAUAUUGGUCAAUGGUCGGGAGACUGAACCAGCCAAGCCGCGUGAGGGAGGAAGGUACAGAGUAUCGUAAACCUCUUUUGUCAGGGAACAAAGACUGGGACGCGUCCCCGGAUGAGUGUACCUGAAGAAAAAGCAUCGGCUAACUCCGUGCCAGCAGCCGCGGUAAUACGGAGGAUGCGAGCGUUAUCCGGAUUUAUUGGGUUUAAAGGGUGCGCAGGCGGUCUGUUAAGUCAGCGGUCAAAGCCCGGGGCUCAACCCCGGCCCGCCGUUGAAACUGGCAGUCUCGAGUUGGAGAGAAGUAUGCGGAAUGCGCGGUGUAGCGGUGAAAUGCAUAGAUAUCGCGCAGAACUCCGAUAGCGAAGGCAGCAUGCCGGCUCCACACUGACGCUGAGGCACGAAAGCGUGGGUAUCGAACAGGAUUAGAUACCCUGGUAGUCCACGCAGUAAACGAUGAAUGCUGGCUGUCCGGGGGGACUGACCCCUGGGUGCGAAGCGAAAGCGAUAAGCAUUCCACCUGGGGAGUACGCCGGCAACGGUGAAACUCAAAGGAAUUGACGGGGGCCCGCACAAGCGGAGGAACAUGUGGUUUAAUUCGAUGAUACGCGAGGAACCUUACCCGGGCUCAGACGGGGAGUGGCGCAGGCAGAGACGCCUGUUUCCCACGGGACACUCCCCGAGGUGCUGCAUGGUUGUCGUCAGCUCGUGCCGUGAGGUGUCGGCUUAAGUGCCAUAACGAGCGCAACCCCCGCGUGCAGUUGCUAACAGUCAACGCUGAGGACUCUGCACGGACUGCCGGCGCAAGCCGCGAGGAAGGCGGGGAUGACGUCAAAUCAGCACGGCCCUUACGUCCGGGGCGACACACGUGUUACAAUGGGUGGUACAGCGGGAAGCCAGGCGGCGACGCCGAGCGGAACCCGAAAUCCACUCUCAGUUCGGAUCGGAGUCUGCAACCCGACUCCGUGAAGCUGGAUUCGCUAGUAAUCGCGCAUCAGCCAUGGCGCGGUGAAUACGAACCCGGGCCUUGCACACACCGCCCGUCA
RNAcentral lists this ribosomal RNA (1392 nucleotides) under uncultured bacterium. RNAcentral's name for it is "16S ribosomal RNA". It matches the Rfam family "Bacterial small subunit ribosomal RNA". The record is from RNAcentral.